ACACUUCUAUGAUGUUUUAGCACUGGGCUCUGAGCACCUGUGUAGACUAAUGUGCAGUUCUGCUCCUGACAUGGCAGACUCUGAGGAGUGU
Molecule: small nucleolar RNA, 91 nt
Organism: Myxocyprinus asiaticus (Chinese sucker)
Lineage: Eukaryota; Metazoa; Chordata; Actinopteri; Cypriniformes; Catostomidae
Source: RefSeq, a predicted model, not a curated record